This 367-nucleotide RNase P RNA is filed under the name Deltaproteobacteria bacterium. RNAcentral describes it as "RNase P RNA component class A". It matches the Rfam family "Bacterial RNase P class A". From Rfam's summary of the family: Ribonuclease P (RNase P) is a ubiquitous endoribonuclease, found in archaea, bacteria and eukarya as well as chloroplasts and mitochondria. Its best characterised activity is the generation of mature 5'-ends of tRNAs by cleaving the 5'-leader elements of precursor-tRNAs. The record is from RNAcentral. Lineage: Bacteria; Pseudomonadati; Myxococcota; Myxococcia.
CGGGCAGGCCGGGCAGCCGCCGGGGGCGAGAGCCCCGGGAGGAAAGUCCGGGCUCCACAGGGCGCGGCGCUGGGCAACUCCCAGCGGGGGCGACCCCGGGCAAGCGCAACAGAAAGGAGACCGCCUUCUCCGGAAGGCAAGGGUGAAAGGGUGAGGUAAGAGCUCACCGGCCGUCCGGGCGACCGGGCGGGCCAGGCAAGCCCCGUCUGGAGCAAGACCUAAUAAGGGAACCAUAAGGCGGCCCGCCUUGUUCCCGGGUUGGUCGCUGGAGCGCAGGGGAGACCCUGCGCCUAGAUGAAUGGCUGCCGGGCGCCGUCCCGUUAGGGGCGGCGCCUCACAGAACCCGGCUUACAGGCCGGCCCGGAUA